CAACAGCCCAGCCACCAGUAAGCCCCCUGUCACUUUGCGCCUAGUGGUGCCCGCCAGUCAGUGCGGCUCCCUCAUUGGCAAAGGAGGCUCGAAAAUCAAAGAGAUGAGAGAGUCCACAGGAGCUCAGGUGCAGGUAGCAGGGGACAUGCUGCCUAACUCCACAGAGCGCGCAGUGACAAUCUCCGGCA
This is a long non-coding RNA of Sinocyclocheilus grahami, 188 nucleotides long. RefSeq lists it as uncharacterized. The transcript is spliced from 2 exons. NCBI's taxonomy places the organism in Eukaryota, Metazoa, Chordata, Actinopteri, Cypriniformes, Cyprinidae. The record is from RefSeq and is a predicted model, not a curated record.